Delphinapterus leucas (beluga whale) is the source of this 461-nucleotide long non-coding RNA. RefSeq lists it as uncharacterized. NCBI's taxonomy places the organism in Eukaryota, Metazoa, Chordata, Mammalia, Artiodactyla, Monodontidae. The record is from RefSeq and is a predicted model, not a curated record.
CCCUGUUAGUUUUUGAGGCACAGGACCUGAACGUAAACAGUACACGAAGGUUGCAGCAGCAGUUCAGAAGGCAAUCCAGUGCUACCCUGUCAUCUAUGAUGAGAAAAAAAGAGCUACUACCCAGACACCACUGGAUCGUUUUUUCAAGAGGGUAGGUAGAAUUGAAUCCAGCAAGGAACCAGAUCCUGUGCCAUCCACGUCAGGAGUGAGUGACAUUGCAGCUUGCGCUCCAUCUCCUAUUGCUGACGACCCUUCAGCUCUAACAUCUCCCACCUCCUCUCCCUCCUCCAGUCAGUAACUCUUCUGGCCUGUUCACUCGAUGCCAGACCCUGGAUGACAGCUGUCCUACUAUACAACUGUACUUUUCAAGGUUCGUCCUUUUCUCAUUGACUUGUAAGAGUUCUUCAUAUAUUCUGGAAACUAAUCCUCUGUCUACCUUUAUGCAGGCCUCUCACUGUUGU